This 465-nucleotide ribosomal RNA is filed under the name Vreelandella stevensii. Its description in RNAcentral is "partial 16S ribosomal RNA". It matches the Rfam family "Bacterial small subunit ribosomal RNA", at positions 338 to 795 of the family's 1533-position model. Lineage: Bacteria; Pseudomonadati; Pseudomonadota; Gammaproteobacteria; Oceanospirillales; Halomonadaceae. The record is from RNAcentral.
CCUACGGGUGGCAGCAGUGGGGAAUAUUGGACAAUGGGCGAAAGCCUGAUCCAGCCAUGCCGCGUGUGUGAAGAAGGCCUUAGGGUUGUAAAGCACUUUCAGUGGGGAAGAAAGCCUUGGGGCUAAUACCCUCGAGGAAGGACAUCACCCACAGAAGAAGCACCGGCUAACUCCGUGCCAGCAGCCGCGGUAAUACGGAGGGUGCGAGCGUUAAUCGGAAUUACUGGGCGUAAAGCGCGCGUAGGCGGUCUGAUAAGCCGGUUGUGAAAGCCCCGGGCUCAACCUGGGAACGGCAUCCGGAACUGUCAGGCUAGAGUGCAGGAGAGGAAGGUAGAAUUCCCGGUGUAGCGGUGAAAUGCGUAGAGAUCGGGAGGAAUACCAGUGGCGAAGGCGGCCUUCUGGACUGACACUGACGCUGAGGUGCGAAAGCGGUGGUAGCAAACAGGAUUAGAUACCCUUGUAGUC